Molecule: long non-coding RNA, 571 nt
Filed under: Ananas comosus (pineapple)
Lineage: Eukaryota; Viridiplantae; Streptophyta; Magnoliopsida; Poales; Bromeliaceae
Description: long non-coding RNA (ACOM_LNC004786)
Source: RNAcentral
AAUAGAACUUAUAUAUAUAGUAGAGUUACUAUACUAGUAUAGAGCCAUUCGUACUCAUAAGUUAUUUUCUGUUGGAAUUUUUGAAUCGACGAUCUACACCGCUAAACAUGAUCUAUAGUAUUUGAAACUUUUAGAAAAUAAAUUUCGUAAUUUUUCGAAAUCAUUAUAAAGUCUAUAUAUCAAGCCAGUAUAAAAUGAAUAGUCAAAAUCGAACGACAUCCUAAAAUGGAUGAUCGGAUCCUUCAAUUUAAGAUCAGAGUUAUUGAUUUUUAUUUAGAUAGUGAAUAGAAUUUUCUAUCAAAAGUUUAACUUAUUCCGACUCUUUUACACCUAGUAAACUAACAAAUAUCUCAUACCGGCCGUUAAAAAUUGUCAAUUUUUUAGCUUUUGAUCGUAAGGUAAAUGAUAUCAAAAAAUUAUAAAAUUUGAUUUCUAUAGAAGUUUUAAAUGUUCUAAAUGAUGUUUAACGGUAUAGAUCGUCGAUUCGGAAGCUCUGUCAUAAAAAAUAACUUAUGAGUACGAAGGCGAUCGUACUCAUAAAAAUAUAGUAACUGGACUCUCUCUCUCUCUC